UACGAAGGGGGCUAGCGUUGCUCGGAAUCACUGGGCGUAAAGGGUGCGUAGGCGGGCCAUUAAGUCAGUGGUGAAAGCUCCGAGCUUAACUCGGAAACUGCCAUUGAUACUAUUGGUCUUGAAUUCGGUCGAGGUUGGCGGAAUGUGUCGUGUAGCGGUGAAAUGCUUAGAUAUGACACAGAACACCGAUUGCGAAGGCAGCUAGCUAGACCGACAUUGACGCUGAGGCACGAAAGCGUGGGGAGCAAACAGG
RNAcentral lists this ribosomal RNA (253 nucleotides) under uncultured bacterium. Its description in RNAcentral is "partial 16S ribosomal RNA". It matches the Rfam family "Bacterial small subunit ribosomal RNA", at positions 524 to 776 of the family's 1533-position model. The record is from RNAcentral.